RNAcentral lists this transfer RNA (61 nucleotides) under Ictidomys tridecemlineatus (thirteen-lined ground squirrel). RNAcentral's name for it is "Spermophilus tridecemlineatus (thirteen-lined ground squirrel) tRNA". It matches the Rfam family "tRNA", at positions 6 to 65 of the family's 71-position model. Rfam says of the family: Transfer RNA (tRNA) molecules are approximately 80 nucleotides in length. Their secondary structure includes four short double-helical elements and three loops (D, anti-codon, and T loops). Further hydrogen bonds mediate the characteristic L-shaped molecular structure. tRNAs have two regions of fundamental functional importance: the anti-codon, which is responsible for specific mRNA codon recognition, and the 3' end, to which the tRNAs corresponding amino acid is attached (by aminoacyl-tRNA synthetases). tRNAs cope with the degeneracy of the genetic code in two manners: having more than one tRNA (with a specific anti-codon) for a particular amino acid; and 'wobble' base-pairing, i.e. permitting non-standard base-pairing at the 3rd anti-codon position. Lineage: Eukaryota; Metazoa; Chordata; Mammalia; Rodentia; Sciuridae. The record is from Rfam by way of RNAcentral.
UGUAACUCAGUGGUAGAGUACUUGCCUAACAUGCACAAGGCCCUGGGUUCAAUUCCCAGUA